UGCAAGUCGAGCGGACAGAAGGGAGCUGCUCCNGGAUGUAGCGGCGGACGGGUGAGUAACACGUGGGUACCUGCCUGUAAGACUGGGAUAACUCCGGGAAACCGGAGCUAAUACGGNAUAGUUCCUUGAACCGCAUGGUUCAAGGAUGAAAGACGGUUUCGGCUGUCACUUACAGAUGGACCCGCGGCGCAUAGCUAGUUGGUGAGGUAACGGCUCACCAAGGCGACGAUGCGUAGCCGACCUGAGAGGGUGAUCGGCCACACUGGGACUGAGACACGGCCCAGACUCCUACGGGAGGCAGCAGUAGGGAAUCUUCCGCAAUGGACGAAAGUCUGACGGAGCAACGCCGCGUGAGUGAUGAAGGUUUUCGGAUCGUAAAGCUCUGUUGUUAGGGAAGAACAAGUGCAAGAGUAACUGCUUGCACCUUGACGGUACCUAACCAGAAAGCCACGGCUAACUACGUGCCAGCAGCCGCGGUAAUACGUAGGUGGCAAGCGUUGUCCGGAAUUAUUGGGCGUAAAGGGCUCGCAGGCGGUUUCUUAAGUCUGAUGUGAAAGCCCCCGGCUCAACCGGGGAGGGUCAUUGGAAACUGGGAAACUUGAGUGCAGAAGAGGAGAGUGGAAUUCCACGUGUAGCGGUGAAAUGCGUAGAGAUGUGGAGGAACACCAGUGGCGAAGGCGACUCUCUGGUCUGUAACUGACGCUGAGGAGCGAAAGCGUGGGGAGCGAACAGGAUUAGAUACCCUGGUAGUCCACGCCGUAAACGAUGAGUGCUAAGUGUUAGGGGGUUUCCGCCCCUUAGUGCUGCAGCUAACGCAUUAAGCACUCCGCCUGGGGAGUACGGUCGCAAGACUGAAACUCAAAGGAAUUGACGGGGGCCCGCACAAGCGGUGGAGCAUGUGGUUUAAUUCGAAGCAACGCGAAGAACCUUACCAGGUCUUGACAUCCUCUGACAACCCUAGAGAUAGGGCUUUCCCUUCGGGGACAGAGUG
RNAcentral lists this ribosomal RNA (991 nucleotides) under Bacillus aerius. RNAcentral describes it as "bacterial SSU rRNA". It matches the Rfam family "Bacterial small subunit ribosomal RNA", at positions 56 to 1033 of the family's 1533-position model. The record is from RNAcentral. Lineage: Bacteria; Bacillati; Bacillota; Bacilli; Caryophanales; Bacillaceae.